Hyaena hyaena (striped hyena) is the source of this 170-nucleotide small nuclear RNA. RefSeq annotates it as U1 spliceosomal RNA. The transcript has a single exon. The record is from RefSeq and is a predicted model, not a curated record. Lineage: Eukaryota; Metazoa; Chordata; Mammalia; Carnivora; Hyaenidae.
AUACUUACCUGGUAGAGGAGAGAUACUAGGAUUGUGACAGUGAUUUCCUUUCUCUGGGCACAUCUUACCCAUUGCACUCCCGGUGUGCUGAUCUCUGUGAUUAUCUUAAAUAUGGAAAAUUGGACUGCAUGAUUUGUGGUAGAAAAGGAUUGUGUUCGUACUCUCCACUU